This 253-nucleotide ribosomal RNA is filed under the name uncultured bacterium. RNAcentral describes it as "partial 16S ribosomal RNA". It matches the Rfam family "Bacterial small subunit ribosomal RNA", at positions 524 to 776 of the family's 1533-position model. The record is from RNAcentral.
UACAGAGGUCUCAAGCGUUGUUCGGAUUCAUUGGGCGUAAAGGGUGCGUAGGUGGCGCCGUAAGUCGGGUGUGAAAUCCUGAGGCUUAACCUCAGAACUGCAUUCGAUACUGCGGUGCUUGAGGACUGGAGAGGAGACUGGAAUUCAUGGUGUAGCAGUGAAAUGCGUAGAGAUCAUGAGGAAGACCAGUGGCGAAGGCGGGUCUCUGGACAGUUCCUGACGCUGAGGCGCGAAAGCGUGGGGAGCAAACGGG